RNAcentral lists this non-coding RNA (789 nucleotides) under Hevea brasiliensis (rubber tree). Lineage: Eukaryota; Viridiplantae; Streptophyta; Magnoliopsida; Malpighiales; Euphorbiaceae. The record is from RNAcentral.
ACCACCCAUUGGUUUCAACUUGCAGUUUCUUGAAUAAUAAUAAUAAUCACAUAACCCCACUUAGAGAGUGUUACAGAUGCUUGCUUUACUUAUUUUGCCUUCUCUCCUCUUCUUCAACUCUCUUAUUCUUUCUCUUUUCCUUUUUGUGUGAACCUAUGAAACCAUGCAAAAAAAAAAAAAAUGGUCCCCAUCUGCUACUUGUGUUUCAUACUCUUUUUGGUUCUUUGUUGAUGCUAACAUUACAACAACACACCCACAGGCACACAGUGAGAUGAAAGGCUCAUCCAACUAAAGUUAUAAGUAAAAGCUUCUUAGGAAAUUUAGAAACUCUCACUGCCCUGUCUGCAUGUGGUGGCGUGGGCGUGACAAUAUUCAAUUCCAUUCUUUUGGGACCACGUUUUUGCUUUUUUCUUUCUUUAUUUCUUUCUUCUAUUUUUUUUCCCAUGCUAUCCUACUUAGGUUUACCACAAGAAAUAUAUACUUUGUUAAAGUUUUGCUAUUUCCACUGCCUUUGUUUUUUCCUAGUCAUAUAAGACAAAAUAUGAUGAGAUUGUUUGUAAGAAAAAUAUGGCUGGAGUUAGUAGAAAUCAAAGUCCUCCACAUCUAGAGAAAGUCCUCUAUUUAUACCCUCCUAUCCUUCCUUAUCUAUGAAGCCUUCAUAUGGGAAUAGAAAGAUGAUAUGAAGAAAAUUAAGGUUUCAAAGGCUUAAUCUCUCUAUAUGUAUAUACCUACCCCUUAAUGAUCUUCUUGCCGUGCACCACUAGUAGUUGAAGCUGCCAGCAUGAUCUG